UGGGGAAUCUUGGACAAUGGGGGCAACCCUGAUCCAGCCAUGCCGCGUGAGCGAUGAAGGCCUUAGGGUUGUAAAGCUCUUUCACCGGUGAAGAUAAUGACGGUAGCCGGAGAAGAAGCCCCGGCUAACUCCGUGCCAGCAGCCGCGGUAAUACGGAGGGGGCUAGCGUUGUUCGGAAUUACUGGGCGUAAAGCGCGCGUAGGCGGGCUGUUAAGUCGGGGGUGAAAUCCCGGGGCUCAACCCCGGAACUGCCCUCGAUACUGGCAGCCUAGAGGAUGAGAGAGGCGAGUGGAAUUCCGAGUGUAGAGGUGAAAUUCGUAGAUAUUCGGAGGAACACCAGUGGCGAAGGCGGCUCGCUGGCUCAUUUCUGACGCUGAGGUGCGAAAGCGUGGGGAGCAAACAGGAUUAGAUACCCCCGUAGUCC
RNAcentral lists this ribosomal RNA (424 nucleotides) under uncultured prokaryote. RNAcentral's name for it is "bacterial SSU rRNA". It matches the Rfam family "Bacterial small subunit ribosomal RNA", at positions 355 to 796 of the family's 1533-position model. The record is from RNAcentral.